UACGUAGGGUGCGAGCGUUGUCCGGAAUUAUUGGGCGUAAAGAGCUCGUAGGCGGUCUGUCGCGUCGAUCGUGAAAACUUGGGGCUUAACCCUGAGCUUGCGGUCGAUACGGGCAUGACUGGAGUUCGGCAGGGGAGACUGGAAUUCCUGGUGUAGCGGUGAAAUGCGCAGAUAUCAGGAGGAACACCGGUGGCGAAGGCGGGUCUCUGGGCAUGUCCUGACGCUGAGGAGCGAAAGUGUGGGGAGCGAACAGG
RNAcentral lists this ribosomal RNA (254 nucleotides) under uncultured bacterium. RNAcentral's name for it is "partial 16S ribosomal RNA". It matches the Rfam family "Bacterial small subunit ribosomal RNA", at positions 524 to 776 of the family's 1533-position model. The record is from RNAcentral.